Molecule: ribosomal RNA, 254 nt
Filed under: uncultured bacterium
Lineage: Bacteria
Description: partial 16S ribosomal RNA
Rfam family: Bacterial small subunit ribosomal RNA
Source: RNAcentral
CGGACGGGUGAGUAAUGUCUGGGAAACUGCCUGAUGGAGGGGGAUAACUACUGGAAACGGUAGCUAAUACCGCAUAACGUCGCAAGACCAAAGAGGGGGGACCUUCGGGCCUCUUGCCAUCAGAUGUGCCCAGAUGGGAUUAGCUAGUAGGUGGGGUAACGGCUCACCUAGGCGACAAUCCCUAGCUGGUCUGAGAGGAUGACCAGCCACACUGGAACUGAGACACGGUCCAGACUCCUACGGGAGGCAGCAUG